AUGGCUCAACAUAUCUACCAACAAGUGAAGCCUCAUUUCAAAAAGACAAUUUGGCUUUCUGUCUCAGAUGACUUUGACGUCAAGAAGUUAACUAAAGAAGCCUUGCAAUCCAUUUCUGGAGAGGAAAGCACUGGCCAGUUGGACUCGCUUCAACAUGCUCUUCAUAAAACUGUGUGCCAGAAAAAGUUACUUAUUGUCCUUGAUGAUUUAUGGGACGAUGCCUUGAAGGAGAAUGGGCAAUCUUGGAAGAGAUUCUGUGCACCUUUAAAAAAUGUGAGGAAGGGAAGCAUCAUGUUGGUCACCACUAGGUCUCAAAAGGUUGCUGAUGGAGUGCGCACAAUGAAGACAUUGAAAUUAAAUGGCUUGAAAGAUGAUGUCUUUUGGAAUUUCUUCAAACUAUGCAUGUUUGGAUCCGAGAGGUUUAGCAAUGAUCAUGAGUUAGAGCAAAUUGGUAGAAGCAUACUUCCUAAGCUGAAGGGUUCUCCUUUAGCUGCAAAAACUCUUGGACGCCUGCUAAGGAUGAACCGUCACACAACAUAUUGGAAUAAUGUUCUAGAGAGUGAAUUGUGGGAGUUAAGGCAACAGGAGGAUGACAUUUUGCCAGCCCUUCGGUUGAGCUACAUGUACUUACCAUUCUACCUAAAGAGAUGUUUCUCAUUAUGUGGUGUGUACCCUAAAGAUCAUGAAUUUGAGAAGGAUUAUUUAGCUGAAAUUUGGGUGGCGGAAGGCUUUGUGGAACCUCAGGGGGACAUUCCAAUUCAGGAUAUUGCUAGUCAGUACUUUGAAGAUCUUGUAAGUCGAUCUUUCUUUCAGAAAGUACACGGAGCAUAUGUAAUCCAUGACUUGCUUCAUGACAUGGUCCAAAUGGUUUCAAAGAAUGAUUGCUUCAUAUUAAAAAAUGUGAAUGAAUUCCAAAAAAUUCCUAAGAAUGUUCGUCACCUAUCAGUACUCUCUAACCCAAAGUUUGACUAUUCAAAGCUGUUAAGCCUAUGCAAGCAUGAGAAGCUGCGUACCCUGAUUUGCAACAUGCCCUUGGAGGAUAAAGUUGUAGCACCUGUAAUGGAUCAUUGGUGUACUGAACUUGGGCGUAUGCGCGUGAUUAUUUGUGCCUCUACAACUGGGUUACCGGGUAGUGUUUGCAACUUGAAGCAUCUUCGGUACCUUGAAAUCUCCAGAGCUUCUCCUUUGAAGAGCCUUCCUUCAACGUUCUGUUGCCUCUAUAAUUUGCAGAUUCUUUAUAUUGGGGAAUGCAAGAUAGAAAGUUUACCCAGUGACUUCGAUAAGUUGAUCAGCUUGAGGAGAAUUGAAUUAUGUGGAUUUCGAUAUUAUCUAGAGUAUCAACUAAACUGCGAUGCACUAGAAGCUGAACAAAAAAAGAGAUAUCUUCACGGUCUAAAAGUGCACCGGUCUUCGAUGAUGACUCGACAGAACAAUGUGACAGAAGCACUUCAACUUUUACAACCUCCCAAUGGUCUAAAAUCUUUGCAACUCCGAGAUUAUCCAGAUGUGUCUCUACCAAGAUGGUUUCAGCCACAAAAGUUAUCAAGCUUAAUUUCACUUGCAAAUAUUGGUAUUUUCACUUCCCUGAUGGAUCUAGCAAUUUCUGAUUGCCACAAGUUAUCAAGCCUUGAGCAUUUUCUACAUCCAGCUUCUAUACCAGCCAUCAAGAAAAUAGUAGUUAAAAAUUGCGAGAGGUUAAUAUCAGUACCAACUGAAAGAUUUGUGGAGUUCCAUUGCCUUGAAGAAUUGGAGGUGGUUUAUUGCCGAAAUAUCUGCUCCCGAAGUUUGGUGGCUCCUUCACUCAAGAGGCUUGUGCUGGGUUGUUCUGGGGAUUUAGCACACAAUAUUGAGUGUUGCUCCCUCACUAGCUUCUUCUUAUAUUAUUCCCGCCACACGUCCAUACACCUACAACAUCUUCCAGCCCUAAUGAGUUUGAGCAUUGCAAGGUGCGAGUCUCUUACAUCUGUGAGACCAGCGAUCUUCACUAACUUCUCCCAUUGUGGGUGCAGUGCCAGCGGCAUUACAUCGUUCUUGUUCCUUACGGUGCUAACCAUUAGCGGCUGCACUAAACUGUCAACCCUUGAUGGUCUCCUAACACAAGAAUGCCUGCCUGUCGUUGAGAGGAUUUAUAUUGCACACUGCGACGAGUUGCUCUCGCUACCCGGAGAAUGGUUCGGAAGUUUCCUUUGUCUCAACGACCUGGAGAUUUAUGAUUGCCAACGUCUGGACUGGCAGAGGGGACUGGUGCUGCCGUCGACGCUCCAGAGGCUCGUACUGGGCCAAUGUGGGGAUAUAUCUGCAUGGGUUCCCAGCUGCCUGCAAAACCUCGCGUCACUUGUUUCGCUGGAGAUGUCUGAGUGCCCGGGCAUAACAUCCAUUCCAGGUGACAUUUGGAGGACGAACCUUGCAUCUCUAGAGGAGUUAUAUAUCACCGAUUGUCCAGACCUGGUCUCAAUUGGGGGAUUGGAGGCCGUUGCGCAGCUAGGCACGCUGCACAUCUCUGGCUGCCCAAAGAUGAUAGAGAUGUAG
Molecule: ribosomal RNA, 2529 nt
Filed under: Triticum aestivum (bread wheat)
Lineage: Eukaryota; Viridiplantae; Streptophyta; Magnoliopsida; Poales; Poaceae
Description: partial small subunit ribosomal RNA
Source: RNAcentral